UACGUAGGGGGCAAGCGUUGUCCGGAUUUAUUGGGCGUAAAGAGCGUGUAGGCGGUUUGGUAGGUCCGUUGUGAAAACUCGAGGCUCAACCUCGAGACGCCGAUGGAAACCAUCAGACUAGAGUCCGGAAGAGGAGAGUGGAAUUCCUGGUGUAGCGGUGAAAUGCGCAGAUAUCAGGAAGAACACCCGUGGCUAGGGCGGCUCUCUAGUACGGUACUGACGCUGAGACGCGAAAGCGUGGGGAGCGAACAGG
This 253-nucleotide ribosomal RNA is filed under the name uncultured bacterium. RNAcentral's name for it is "partial 16S ribosomal RNA". It matches the Rfam family "Bacterial small subunit ribosomal RNA", at positions 524 to 776 of the family's 1533-position model. The record is from RNAcentral.